GGGCCGCACGCGCGCUACACUGACGGAGGCAGCGAGUCCUUGCCAGAGAUGGCUGGGGAAUCUUAGACUCCGUCGUGCUGGGGAUAGCGCUUUGCAAGAGGCGCUUCAACGAGGAAUUCCUAGUAACGCGAGUCAUCACUUGCGCUGAUUACGUCCC
RNAcentral lists this ribosomal RNA (157 nucleotides) under Komagataella pastoris. RNAcentral describes it as "partial 18S rRNA". It matches the Rfam family "Eukaryotic small subunit ribosomal RNA", at positions 1484 to 1653 of the family's 1831-position model. Lineage: Eukaryota; Fungi; Ascomycota; Pichiomycetes; Pichiales; Pichiaceae. The record is from RNAcentral.